UACGUAGGUGGCAAGCGUUGUCCGGAUUUAUUGGGUUUAAAGGGUGCGUAGGCGGCCCUGUAAGUCAGUGCUGAAAUAUCCCAGCUUAACUGGGAGGGUGGCAUUGAUACUGCGGGGCUAGAGUACAGAUGAGGUAGGCGGAAUUGACGGUGUAGCGGUGAAAUGCUUAGAUAUCGUCAAGAACACCUAUAGCGAAGGCAGCUUACUAGGCUGUAACUGACGCUGAGGCACGAAAGUGUGGGGAGCGAACCGG
Molecule: ribosomal RNA, 253 nt
Filed under: uncultured bacterium
Lineage: Bacteria
Description: partial 16S ribosomal RNA
Rfam family: Bacterial small subunit ribosomal RNA
Source: RNAcentral